GACCUCUUAGCUCAGUUGGUUACAGCAAGGUGCUUGUAUCACCGAGGCUGUGGGUUCAAUCUCUGUGUGGGCCA
Lamprotornis superbus is the source of this 74-nucleotide non-coding RNA. The record is from the annotation of a GenBank genome assembly. NCBI's taxonomy places the organism in Eukaryota, Metazoa, Chordata, Aves, Passeriformes, Sturnidae.